UGAGAUUAAACAAUGCAUGGACUAUGUGAACAGGCACUGGACUAAAGAAGGGAUUUGCUGGGCUAGGAACUCUAAUUUAAAAGAUGUGGAUGACACGGCUAUGGCUUUUCGACUACUACGGCUACAUGGAUGCAAUGUCUCCCCAAGUGUGUUUAAGAAUUUUGAGAAGGAUGGAGAGUUCUUUUGUUUCGUGGGGCAAUCAACCCAAGCUGUCACUGGGAUGUAUAACCUCAACAGAGCCUCUCAGAUAGGGUUUCAAGAGGAGGAUAUAUUGCACCGUGCUAGGAUUUUCUCAUAUGAGUUUCUUAGACAAAGA
Panicum hallii is the source of this 316-nucleotide long non-coding RNA. RefSeq lists it as uncharacterized. Lineage: Eukaryota; Viridiplantae; Streptophyta; Magnoliopsida; Poales; Poaceae. The record is from RefSeq and is a predicted model, not a curated record. The transcript has 3 exons.